GCCUGGUUGGCUCAGUCGGUAGAGCAUGUGACUCUUCAUCUCAGGGUUGUGAGUUCAAGUCCCACAUUGGGCG
This 73-nucleotide transfer RNA is filed under the name Felis catus (domestic cat). It matches the Rfam family "tRNA". Rfam says of the family: Transfer RNA (tRNA) molecules are approximately 80 nucleotides in length. Their secondary structure includes four short double-helical elements and three loops (D, anti-codon, and T loops). The record is from Rfam by way of RNAcentral. Lineage: Eukaryota; Metazoa; Chordata; Mammalia; Carnivora; Felidae.